Solanum verrucosum is the source of this 1151-nucleotide RNA transcript. It is a transcript of the gene named probable xyloglucan endotransglucosylase/hydrolase protein 23, with no coding region annotated. The record is from RefSeq and is a predicted model, not a curated record. Lineage: Eukaryota; Viridiplantae; Streptophyta; Magnoliopsida; Solanales; Solanaceae. The transcript is spliced from 3 exons.
AUCCAACAAAUUAAAGUUUGAAAUCUUUAGAACUAAACAUGGCUUCUUCUUCUUCUUUUUCUUCUAAGUUAAUACUUUUGAUGUGUUUUAUGAUCAGUGCUUUUGGCAUUGCAAUUGCAGCCAAGUUCGAUCAAGAAUUCGACAUCACAUGGGGUGAUGGCAGAGCAAAAAUACUCAACAAUGGCGACCUCCUAACUCUCUCACUUGACAAAAUCUCUGGCUCUGGUUUUCAAUCCAAGAAUGAAUAUCUCUUUGGUAAAAUUGACAUGCAGCUCAAACUUGUCCCUGGAAAUUCUGCGGGAACCGUCACUGCCUACUAUUUGUCAUCACAAGGACCAACACAUGAUGAGAUAGAUUUUGAAUUCUUGGGAAACCUAAGUGGUGAUCCUUAUACUCUCCAUACUAAUGUAUUUAGCCAAGGCAAAGGAAACAGAGAACAACAAUUUCAUCUUUGGUUUGACCCUACUGCUGAUUUCCACACAUAUUCAAUCACUUGGAAUCCACUACGCAUCAUAUUUUAUGUGGACGGAACGCCCAUUAGAGAAUACAAGAAUAGCGAAUCAAUGGGAGUUUCAUAGCCGAAGAACCAAGCAAUGAGGAUUUACUCGAGUCUUUGGAAUGCGGAUGAUUGGGCUACAAGAGGAGGACUUGUCAAGACUGAUUGGAGCCAAGCACCCUUUAGUGCUUCUUACAGAAACUUCAAUGCAAAUGCUUGUCUUCCCAGUUCUCCAUCUUCUUGCAAUUCCAAUACUACAACUUCAACAAGCAAUUCAUGGUUGAAUGAAGAGUUAGAUAACACAAGUCAAGAGAGGCUCAAAUGGGUGCAGAAGAAUUACAUGGUUUAUAAUUACUGCACUGAUUCUAAACGAUUUCCACAAGGAUUUCCAGAAGAUUGUCUUCAGAAUAGCUGAGCAUUUACAGUGAAAUUUUUUGUAUUCUUUUACUUAUGAUCUAUAAAACUAUUAUAUUGAUUCUUUUAUUGUUCUGCACCAACCAGUAGCAGAGGAUUACAAACAUCUUAAUUCUUAGUUUUGUUACUAAGGGAUCGUUUGGUGAAAUUACACCAUGUGUUUACCCCAAGUUUUCUUAGAAAUAUUUGACUAUUUCAAAAAAUAUGAUUUAUUUCCAUAAGUUCUAAAAACUAUUAAAAA